UACGAAGGGGGCUAGCGUUGCUCGGAAUCACUGGGCGUAAAGCGCACGUAGGCGGACUCUUAAGUCAGGGGUGAAAUCCUGGAGCUCAACUCCAGAACUGCCUUUGAUACUGGGAGUCUUGAGUUCGGGAGAGGUGAGUGGAACUGCGAGUGUAGAGGUGAAAUUCGUAGAUAUUCGCAAGAACACCAGUGGCGAAGGCGGCUCACUGGCCCGAUACUGACGCUGAGGUGCGAAAGCUAGGGGAGCAAACGGG
Molecule: ribosomal RNA, 253 nt
Filed under: uncultured bacterium
Lineage: Bacteria
Description: partial 16S ribosomal RNA
Rfam family: Bacterial small subunit ribosomal RNA
Source: RNAcentral